This 19-nucleotide transfer RNA is filed under the name Echidnophaga oschanini. RNAcentral's name for it is "partial tRNA-Leu". The record is from RNAcentral. Lineage: Eukaryota; Metazoa; Arthropoda; Insecta; Siphonaptera; Pulicidae.
GAUUUUUCUUUUAUUAGAA